UACGUAGGUGACAAGCGUUGUCCGGAUUUACUGGGCGUAAAGAGCGCGCAGGCGGUCGUUCAAGUCGAGUGUGAAAGCCCCCGGCUCAACUGGGGAGGGUCACUCGAUACUGAUCGACUCGAAGGCAGGAGAGGGUAGUGGAAUUCCCGGUGUAGUGGUGAAAUGCGUAGAUAUCGGGAGGAACACCAGUGGCGAAAGCGGCUACCUGGCCCAUUCUUGACGCUGAGGCGCGAAAGCUAGGGGAGCAAAUGGG
RNAcentral lists this ribosomal RNA (253 nucleotides) under uncultured bacterium. Its description in RNAcentral is "partial 16S ribosomal RNA". It matches the Rfam family "Bacterial small subunit ribosomal RNA", at positions 524 to 776 of the family's 1533-position model. The record is from RNAcentral.